Vicia villosa (hairy vetch) is the source of this 982-nucleotide long non-coding RNA. RefSeq lists it as uncharacterized. The transcript is spliced from 3 exons. The record is from RefSeq and is a predicted model, not a curated record. Lineage: Eukaryota; Viridiplantae; Streptophyta; Magnoliopsida; Fabales; Fabaceae.
UAUCAAUUGCAAUUUUCUCUUAAGAUUGCAUGCAGCUUUGUUUUCAUGUUAUUUUCGGAAAUUGCGUAUUGCGUUGGUUGGUGUUGUUUGUUGCUAUUUUUUGAAGGUUUGGUUACUUUACAGUUUAUAUCACAGUGAAGAUUAAGCAACAAAGUUGUGCUUUUUUGUUUGUAAUCAUUGCUAAUAUUCUAAGCUUGUUUGUGAAAUUCACAUGUGCUAGUUUGAGGCAUGUGCAUGAGUAGUACCUUGCUUUAUGUGUGUUUUGUAAGAUGAAGUAGUUUAUGAAACUUUAUGUUGCAGCAAGCCGUUUGUGUUUGUGAUGAAGACUGAAUAAAAGGGUUCAGUUUUCUAUGAAGUCAAACAAAUCACGGAGGUGGCCAAUCACAGAAAAGACUCUCUUGUUUGAUGGGAAAACCAAGUUUGAAGAUCAAAAGACUGCCUUUAAUGGCAGUUGCAUGUACAGUAAUGUUGUUCGUUGUAUAUAGGACUUUAAAGUAUCAAAACUCAAGAAGAGGUAUGUCAUAGUCUGUCUCUUAGAAACUCUCAUCCAAGUAACAUUGAGAAGGAACUUACUGAAGAAAGGAACACCCUUAUGCAUUCUAAUGCUUCAGCUUUCAAACGGAUAAUGACUGAGGAAUUUGGCUACCGAAAAAAGUGGAAACAAAUGCAAAGAGAAGUUUGAGAAUUUGUACAAGUAUUACGAGAAAACAAAGGAAGGUAAGGCUAGUAGACAAGAUGCUAAACACUACAGAUUCUUUAGGCAGCUUGAAGCAAUAUGUGGAGAAUCAAAUACAAACACCAAUGCUACUCAAACUCCAAGCUUCACAAUGAAUCAAGAAAAUGUUAAUGUGUGUUGAGGAUCAUAGUUUGAUCAAUAGCCUAAAGUACAUAUAAGAUAGUCUAAUGAGUUUCAACAUGUAAGUUGGACCCACUUUUUCAUUUUUUUUUUCAAUCUAAAUUUGCAAAUUGUAACAGUUCUUAA